Molecule: long non-coding RNA, 367 nt
Organism: Sander lucioperca (pikeperch)
Lineage: Eukaryota; Metazoa; Chordata; Actinopteri; Perciformes; Percidae
Exons: 3
Source: RefSeq, a predicted model, not a curated record
AUCAUCUACACAUCAAAAGGAGACAGGAAGUUCCCCCUGCUUGCAGAUGUUGCCAGAUUAACAUGUGAGAGGCUUGAUAGGAGCCUCUAUCAACCAUGUCACUUCCCCUGCUCCCUGGCUCAGCAAUAGAGGAACAACUAGAUAAAGGAGGAGCCAGACUCUGAGGAGUGGCAGAUGAGUGGAAUCUCCACACUCAACCCCAAUGAUCUGAACAACCUGCAUAUUCAGAUGGGAGAUGAGGAAUGAGGAAAGGGAGACGGUGGACAGGGAGCUAGAUGCUCAGGAGCAAGGUUGUGUCUUAGUGCAGGAGUCCUUUUUUUUCACCUUGGGCCGAUGUGCAAGAAUGGAAGGGAAGCCGAACAUUCUG